This 454-nucleotide ribosomal RNA is filed under the name uncultured bacterium. RNAcentral's name for it is "bacterial SSU rRNA". It matches the Rfam family "Bacterial small subunit ribosomal RNA", at positions 340 to 786 of the family's 1533-position model. The record is from RNAcentral.
UACGGAAGGCAGCAGUGGGGAAUAUUGCACAAUGGGCGCAAGCCUGAUGCAGUCAUGCCGCGUGUAUGAAGAAGGCCUUCGGGUUGUAAAGUACUUUCAUCGGGGAGGAAAAACAAAACUAAUAAUUUUAUUUCUUGACGUUACCCGAAAAAGAAGCACCGGCUAACUCCGUGCCAGCAGCCGCGGUAAUACGGAGGGUGCUAGCGUUAAUCAGAAUUACUGGGCGUAAAGAGCACGUAGGUGGUUUUUUUAAGUCAGAUGUGAAAUCCCUGGGCUUAACCUGGAACUGCAUUUUGAAACUGAAAUACUAGAGUAUCGUAGAGGGAGGUAGAAUUCUAGGUGUAGCGGUGAAAUGCGUAGAUAUCUGGAGGAAUACCUGUGGCGAAAGCGGCCUCCUAAAUGAAUACUGACACUGAGGUGCGAAAGCGUGGGGAGCAAACAGGGAUUAGAUACC